UGCAUUCACUACUGUGAGCCGCUCUGGAUAAGAGCGUCUGCUAAAUGACUAAAA
Molecule: non-coding RNA, 54 nt
Organism: Salmo salar (Atlantic salmon)
Lineage: Eukaryota; Metazoa; Chordata; Actinopteri; Salmoniformes; Salmonidae
Source: Rfam